RNAcentral lists this small RNA (617 nucleotides) under Trichoderma harzianum. RNAcentral's name for it is "eukaryotic LSU rRNA". The stretch from base 224 to 377 matches the Rfam family "5.8S ribosomal RNA". The record is from RNAcentral. Lineage: Eukaryota; Fungi; Ascomycota; Sordariomycetes; Hypocreales; Hypocreaceae.
GUACUCGGAGGGAUCAUUACCGAGUUUACAACUCCCCAAACCCAAUGUGAACGUUACCAAACUGUUGCCUCGGCGGGAUCUCUGCCCCGGGUGCGUCGCAGCCCCGGACCAAGGCGCCCGCCGGAGGACCAACCUAAAACUCUUAUUGUAUACCCCCUCGCGGGUUUUUUUUAUAAUCUGAGCCUUCUCGGCGCCUCUCGUAGGCGUUUCGAAAAUGAAUCAAAACUUUCAACAACGGAUCUCUUGGUUCUGGCAUCGAUGAAGAACGCAGCGAAAUGCGAUAAGUAAUGUGAAUUGCAGAAUUCAGUGAAUCAUCGAAUCUUUGAACGCACAUUGCGCCCGCCAGUAUUCUGGCGGGCAUGCCUGUCCGAGCGUCAUUUCAACCCUCGAACCCCUCCGGGGGGUCGGCGUUGGGGAUCGGCCCUCCCUUAGCGGGUGGCCGUCUCCGAAAUACAGUGGCGGUCUCGCCGCAGCCUCUCCUGCGCAGUAGUUUGCACACUCGCAUCGGGAGCGCGGCGCGUCCACAGCCGUUAAACACCCAACUUCUGAAAUGUUGACCUCGGAUCAGGUAGGAAUACCCGCUGAACUUAAGCAAUAUAAAAAGGGGGGAAGAAAAA